This 43-nucleotide ribosomal RNA is filed under the name Hymenochaete sp. RNAcentral describes it as "partial 28S ribosomal RNA". Lineage: Eukaryota; Fungi; Basidiomycota; Agaricomycetes; Hymenochaetales; Hymenochaetaceae. The record is from RNAcentral.
UCGAACCGUCUUCUCAACGGAGACACUACUUUGACCAAUUGAC